UGAUGAUGAAGUCCAUGAUGUUCAUCUGAAAGUGAUCUUAUGAGUUUACUCACACACAGAUGGUGUACGGUGGCCCUGAAGCUGAAAUAUCCCGACAAAAACAUCAAAACUCCAAACAAGAAAAUGCAUCAACACCACAAAGGGCGUCCCGGCUCCUUUCCAGGCGAGACACCUCCCUCUCUGCCUCCUCGCACCUGCCCGCUCGCUCCUGCAGCCUCUCCGCCUCCUCGCUGACCACCUUGAGCUGCGUCUCCAGACUGGCCAAUCGGGAGCCGGAGUCAGUGAUGCUCUGGUGCAGCAGACGGUUCUUCGCUUCCACGUCACGGACUCUGGCCUCACUGUUGGACUGAGCGCGCUCCUGAAGGGACGCCACCGCCUCAGACAGGUGCUGCUUCUCACUCUCCAGCUCUGAGAUCUGAUUGGACGAGCAGAAAGAGCGUGCAUCUCCCGUUCCAGACUCUGCUUCUCCUUCAGUAACUCCUCCCCCAGAGACUCCAUGUCCUGAGUGGUCAGCCUCUCCUGGUCCAGUAAUCCCUGCAGACGCUCCAGCUAACAAACAAAUAUGAAUAAAUC
This is a long non-coding RNA of Melanotaenia boesemani (Boeseman's rainbowfish), 573 nucleotides long. RefSeq lists it as uncharacterized. NCBI's taxonomy places the organism in Eukaryota, Metazoa, Chordata, Actinopteri, Atheriniformes, Melanotaeniidae. The transcript is spliced from 4 exons. The record is from RefSeq and is a predicted model, not a curated record.